Non-coding RNA from Cyanistes caeruleus (blue tit), 384 nucleotides. Lineage: Eukaryota; Metazoa; Chordata; Aves; Passeriformes; Paridae. The record is from RefSeq and is a predicted model, not a curated record.
GGAAAAUUCAAAAUCCUAGAAAUUAAGAUGAAUUUCUGAAACCCUCACACUGAGUGUGGGCCUUUCUGAAAGCAUUCUGUGAGGUCAUACUGCAGGGACUUCAAGACAAACUCUGCUACUCUUGGCUACCACGGUUGUCCAGCAGCAUUGCCUUCAGUGUCAGGCCAGAAGCUUACUGCUGCUGACCUGCAAUCCCUCCAUCUGUGCUGUACAUCCUUAAGUACAACAUGGAUGGAAGCAACAGCAGCAGAAAAGCUCCUUCCCAACUGAUUUGUUGUUCUAAGAUAUCAAAUGUUUGGUAUUUUUAUCCAGUGCUUUACUCAGUGCUGCAAAGCACACUCUGAAACCUGAUAAUGAACUGUGUGCUGGAAGAAAAACCCCGAG